GAUGAACGCUGGCGGCGUGCCUAAUACAUGCAAGUCGAGCGAACAGACGAGGAGCUUGCUCCUUUGACGUUAGCGGCGGACGGGUGAGUAACACGUGGGUAACCUACCUAUAAGACUGGGAUAACUUCGGGAAACCGGAGCUAAUACCGGAUAAUAUUUCGAACCGCAUGGUUCGAUAGUGAAAGAUGGCUUUGCUAUCACUUAUAGAUGGACCUGCGCCGUAUUAGCUAGUUGGUAAGGUAACGGCUUACCAAGGCAACGAUACGUAGCCGACCUGAGAGGGUGAUCGGCCACACUGGAACUGGGACACGGUCCAGACUCCUACGGGAGGCAGCAGUAGGGAAUCUUCCGCAAUGGGCGAAAGCCUGACGGAGCAACGCCGCGUGAGUGAUGAAGGUCUUCGGAUCGUAAAACUCUGUUAUUAGGGAAGAACAAACGUGUAAGUAACUGUGCACGUCUUGACGGUACCUAAUCAGAAAGCCACGGCUAACUACGUG
Molecule: ribosomal RNA, 497 nt
Filed under: uncultured bacterium
Lineage: Bacteria
Description: partial 16S ribosomal RNA
Rfam family: Bacterial small subunit ribosomal RNA
Source: RNAcentral